GCGUCGGUAGUGCAACUGUUUAGCACGCGUCCAGGAUGGAGUGAAAUGUGGGUUCGAAUCCCAGCUGAUGCA
This is a non-coding RNA of Parelaphostrongylus tenuis, 72 nucleotides long. The record is from the annotation of a GenBank genome assembly. NCBI's taxonomy places the organism in Eukaryota, Metazoa, Nematoda, Chromadorea, Rhabditida, Metastrongylidae.